CUAACAAGGAUUCCCCUAGUAACUGCGAGUGAAGCGGGAAGAGCUCAAAUUUAAAAUCUGGCGGCCUUGCCGUCCGAGUUGUAAUUUAGAGAAGCGUUUUCCGCGUCGGACCGUGUACAAGUCUCCUGGAACGGAGCGUCAUAGAGGGUGAGAAUCCCGUCUUUGACACGGACCCCCGGUGCUCUGUGAUACGCUCUCGAAGAGUCGAGUUGUUUGGGAAUGCAGCUCAAAAUGGGUGGUGAACUCCAUCUAAAGCUAAAUAUUGGCGAGAGACCGAUAGCGAACAAGUACCGUGAGGGAAAGAUGAAAAGCACUUUGGAAAGAGAGUGAAACAGUACGUGAAAUUGCUGAAAGGGAAACGCUUGAAGUCAGUCGCGUCCGCCGGAAUUCAGCCUUCAUGGUGUACUUUCUGACGGACGGGCCAGCAUCACUUUUGAUCGCCGGAAAAGGGCAGAGGGAAUGUGGCACCUCCGGGUGUGUUAUAGCCCUCUGUCGUAUACGGUGGUUGGGAGUGAGGACCGCCUAUCUUUGUAGGAUGCUGGCGUAAUGGCUUUAAACGACCCGUCUUGAAACACGGACCAAGGAGUCUAACAUGCCCGCGAGUGUUCGGGUGGAAAACCCGUGCGCGUAAUGAAAGUGAAAGUUGGGAAGGCUGUCAUGGCCUGCACCGACGCCCGGACCUGAGAUUUAUCAAAGGUUCUGCGGUAGAGCGUGUAUGUUGGGACCCGAAAGAUGGUGAACUAUGCCUGAAUAGGGUGAAGCCAGAGGAAACUCUGGUGGAGGCUCGUAGCGAUUCUGACGUGCAAAUCGAUCGUCAAAUUUGGGUAUAGGGGCGAAAGACUAAUCGAACCAUCUAGUAGCUGGUUCCUGCCGA
RNAcentral lists this ribosomal RNA (874 nucleotides) under Dichostereum rhodosporum. RNAcentral's name for it is "LSU rRNA". It matches the Rfam family "Eukaryotic large subunit ribosomal RNA", at positions 65 to 964 of the family's 3401-position model. The record is from RNAcentral. Lineage: Eukaryota; Fungi; Basidiomycota; Agaricomycetes; Russulales; Lachnocladiaceae.